Molecule: ribosomal RNA, 253 nt
Filed under: uncultured bacterium
Lineage: Bacteria
Description: partial 16S ribosomal RNA
Rfam family: Bacterial small subunit ribosomal RNA
Source: RNAcentral
UACGGAGACUGCGAGCGUUACUCGGAUUCACUGGGCGUAAAGGGUGCGCAGGCGGCUAGGUGUGUCAGAUGUGAAAUUUUGAAGCUCAACUUCAAAUCUGCGUCUGAAACUACUUAGCUAGAGUAUUGGAGGGGUAAGCGGAAUUCCUAGUGUAGCAGUGAAAUGCGUAGAUAUUAGGAGGAACACCAAGGGCGAAGGCAGCUUACUGGAAAAUAACUGACGCUCAUGCACGAAAGCGUGGGGAGCAAAAGGG